CAAUUCCUUUAUGUGGUGGAGGUGAUGUGGAGGUGAACUUGAGUAUGUGAGCUACAUGUUACCUACCAAUUCCUUUAUGUGGUGGAGGUGAUGUGGAGGUGAACUUGAGUAUGUGAGCUACAUGUUACCUACCAAUUCCUUUAUGUGGUGGAGGUGAGCUGGAGGUGAUGUGGAGGUGAACUUGAGUAUGUGAGCUACAU
Molecule: long non-coding RNA, 200 nt
Organism: Haliotis rufescens (red abalone)
Lineage: Eukaryota; Metazoa; Mollusca; Gastropoda; Lepetellida; Haliotidae
Exons: 3
Source: RefSeq, a predicted model, not a curated record